UCGCUGGAAGACUAGUGGUUAUGCCAUUGUACUCUCACCACCGCCGCCCGGGUUCGAUUCCCGGCCAGGGGA
Non-coding RNA from Pangasius djambal, 72 nucleotides. The record is from the annotation of a GenBank genome assembly. Lineage: Eukaryota; Metazoa; Chordata; Actinopteri; Siluriformes; Pangasiidae.